This 569-nucleotide long non-coding RNA is filed under the name Crocodylus porosus (Australian saltwater crocodile). Its description in RNAcentral is "lncRNA (ENSCPRG00005018132.1)". The record is from RNAcentral. Lineage: Eukaryota; Metazoa; Chordata; Crocodylia; Crocodylidae.
CCCAAGGAAUCCUUGCCAUUGUGCCCAAUGCUACAGCAGCCUCUUCGUGAGUAAUCCAUGCAGGCAUUCUGAUGUGGACUUCAGUGUCUAGUACAUCACGCAGAAAGGGCUUGGUAGAGUUGGGGCCUUCCUUGUUACAAAAAGCUUGGACAGGAACCUGGUGGAAGUGAGGCAGGGAGGUUUGCCUGAAAGAACCUGAAACAGUAGCUGAGAGAGUCACCUGCCCCACUGAGCUCGAUGGGGUGCUACCCUCAGACCUGCUGCUCUGGAGGCCUCAUCAGCACUGCACAACAGAGGACACUGGGUAUGGCAGGAAGAGAGCAGUGCCCACAGACCUGAGCAGGAGACUCCAUCUGCUGGGGUUCCAGCAGAGGAUGUUUGGCCGGAUUAGCCUGGCAAAGCCUCCUCCCUUAAUUUAGGAGAGACAGCGGCACCUCAGAGAGAAGACACCUCACAGAUGAAAGACAGAACGCAUCCCAGGGGAAGGACUGUCUCUCCUCAACCCUGCCGCUACUUCCCAGUGUCUAUACACAUGCCAGGAGCCCUGAAUCCCCCAAGGCAGGUAUUGC